Molecule: ribosomal RNA, 441 nt
Filed under: uncultured bacterium
Lineage: Bacteria
Description: partial 16S ribosomal RNA
Rfam family: Bacterial small subunit ribosomal RNA
Source: RNAcentral
CCUACGGGCGGCAGCAGUGGGGAAUAUUGCACAAUGGGCGGAACCCUGAUGCAGCGACGCCGCGUGGGUGAAGGAGUGCUUCGGCAUGUAAAGCUCUAUCGGCAGGGAAGAAGCAAGACGGUACCUGACUAAGAAGCCUCGGCUGACUACGUGCCAGCAGCCGCGGUAAUACGCAGGGGGCGAGCGUUAGCCGGAUUCACUGGGUGUAAAGGGAGCGUAGGAGGCCAGGCAAGGCAGGGGUGAAAGCCCGGGGCUCAACCCCGGUACUGCCCUGGGAACUGGAUGGCUGGAGUGCGGGAGGGGCAGGCGGAAUUCCUGGGGUAGCGGUGAAAUGCGUAGAUAUCAGGAGGAACACCGGCGGCGAAGGCGGCCUGCUGGACCGCGACUGACGUUGAGGCUCGAAAGCGUGGGGAGCGAACAGGAUUAGAUACCCGAGUAGUC